Molecule: long non-coding RNA, 348 nt
Filed under: Nicotiana benthamiana
Lineage: Eukaryota; Viridiplantae; Streptophyta; Magnoliopsida; Solanales; Solanaceae
Description: long non-coding RNA (NBEN_LNC016411)
Source: RNAcentral
GCAGCACCUGAAAUGGGCCUUUCUUAUUGAUUUUGUUUCUUCGUGAUGCGGCUAAAUAUUGGAAUCAAGUUACUGCCAAAUAUCGGAAUCAAGUUUAUUUAGUUUGGGCUUUGGUUAUUUGAAGACGAUGAAACAAUAUUUUUGCUGCAAAAGAUGUUUGGUUAGGGCUGCAACUCGACGAGACGACAUUAAGAUGUUCUUGAACAAAGAUGACGAAGUUUGGGACUGAACAACUUGAAGAUUCGGUUACCUUUUAAGUGUAUUUUAAUAUAUCUCGAUGUAUUUCAUUGUAUUCAUUGUCGUUUUUUCAUUGUAUCUCAUUGUAUUCCAUGCAUUUCAUUAUAUUUC